CCUACGGGAGGCAGCAGUGGGGGAUAUUGCACAAUGGGGGAAACCCUGAUGCAGCGACGCCGCGUGGGUGAAGAAGCGCCUCGGCGCGUAAAGCCCUGUCAGCAGGGAAGAAAAUGACGGUACCUGAAGAAGAAGCCCCGGCUAACUACGUGCCAGCAGCCGCGGUAAUACGUAGGGGGCAAGCGUUAUCCGGAUUUACUGGGUGUAAAGGGGGCGCAGACGGCGAUGCAAGCCAGGAGUGGAAGCCCGGGGCCCAACCCCGGGACUGCUCUUGGAACUGCGUGGCUAGAGUGCAGGAGGGGCAGGCGGAAUUCCUGGUGUAGCGGUGAAAUGCGUAGAUAUCUGGAGGAACACCGGUGGCGAAGGCGGCCUGCUGGACUGCAACUGACGUUGAGGCCCGAAAGCGUGGGGAGCAAACAGGAUUAGAUACCCCAGUAGUC
Molecule: ribosomal RNA, 440 nt
Filed under: uncultured bacterium
Lineage: Bacteria
Description: partial 16S ribosomal RNA
Rfam family: Bacterial small subunit ribosomal RNA
Source: RNAcentral